GCCUUCGUAGUGUAGUGGUUAUCAAGCUGGGCUCGUAUUCCAGAGGUCCAUGAUUCGAAUCCCGGCAAAGGCG
Molecule: transfer RNA, 73 nt
Filed under: Stegodyphus mimosarum
Lineage: Eukaryota; Metazoa; Arthropoda; Arachnida; Araneae; Eresidae
Rfam family: tRNA
About the family: Transfer RNA (tRNA) molecules are approximately 80 nucleotides in length. Their secondary structure includes four short double-helical elements and three loops (D, anti-codon, and T loops).
Source: Rfam by way of RNAcentral